UACGAAGGGUGCAAACGUUGCUCGGAAUCAUUGGGAGUAAAGCGCACGUAGGCGGCUUCAAAAGUCGGAUGUGAAAUCCCGUGGCUCAACCAUGGACGUGCAUUCGAAACUGCGAAGCUUGAGUAUGGAAGAGGGUCGCGGAAUUCCCGGUGUAGAGGUGAAAUUCGUAGAUAUCGGGAGGAACACCAGUGGCGAAGGCGGCGACCUGGGCCAAUACUGACGCUGAGGUGCGAAGGCGUGGGGAGCAAACAGG
This 253-nucleotide ribosomal RNA is filed under the name uncultured bacterium. RNAcentral describes it as "partial 16S ribosomal RNA". It matches the Rfam family "Bacterial small subunit ribosomal RNA", at positions 524 to 776 of the family's 1533-position model. The record is from RNAcentral.